GGGCACUUGGGGGUCGCAAAGGGUACACAGGGGGGUCCCAGAGGGCACUUGGGGGUCCCAAAGGGCACUUGGGGGUCUCAGAGGGCACUUAGGGGGUCUCAGUGGGCAUUUGGGGGUCCCAGGGGGCACUUGGGGGGCCCAGAGGGCACUUGGGGGUCCCAGAGGGCAUUUGGGGGUCCCAGGGGGCACUUGGGGGUCUCAGAGGGUACUUGGGGGUCCAAGGGGUCACUUGGGGGUCCCAGGGGGCACUUGGGGGUCCCGGAGGGGACCUGGGGGUCUCAGAUGGCACUUGGGGGUCCCAGAGGGCAGUUGGGGGUCUCAGAUGGCACUUGGGGGUCUCAGAGGGCAGUUGGGGGUCUCAGAGGGCACUUGGGGGUCCCAGAGGGCAUUUGGGGGUCCCAGGGGGCACUUGGGGGUCCCAGGGGGCACUUGGGGGUCUCAGAGGGCAGUUGGGGGUCCCAGAGUGCACUUGAGGGUCCUGGAAGGCACUUUGGGGUCUCAGAGGGCACUUGGGGGUCCAUGGGGGCACUUGGGGGUCUCAGAGGGCACUUGGGGGUCCAUGGGGGCACUUGGGGGUCUCAGAGGGCAUUUGGGGGUCCCAGGGGGCACUUGGGGGUCCUGGAGGGCACUUGGGGGUCCCGUGGGGCACUUGGGGGUCACAAAGGGUACACAGGGGGUCUCAGAUGGCACUUAGGGGCUCCAAGGGUGCACUUGGGGGUCUCAGUGGGCACCUGUGGGUCCAAGGGGGCAAAUGGGGGGCCCAAAGGGUACACAGGGGGUCCUGGAGGGCAUUUGGGGGUCCUGGAGGGCACUUGGGGGUCCCAGAGGGCCCUUU
This 835-nucleotide long non-coding RNA is filed under the name Gallus gallus (chicken). RNAcentral's name for it is "lncRNA (ENSGALG00010018567.1)". Lineage: Eukaryota; Metazoa; Chordata; Aves; Galliformes; Phasianidae. The record is from RNAcentral.